GUGUUCACUUCAGCAGUACAUAUACUGAAGUUGGACCGAUCACAGAAGAUUGGCAUGCCCCUGUGUAGGGAUGACAUACAGAGUCACAAAGCAUUCCAUGUUUAA
Molecule: small nuclear RNA, 105 nt
Organism: Nannospalax galili (Upper Galilee mountains blind mole rat)
Lineage: Eukaryota; Metazoa; Chordata; Mammalia; Rodentia; Spalacidae
Source: Ensembl